This 207-nucleotide ribosomal RNA is filed under the name uncultured bacterium. RNAcentral describes it as "partial 16S ribosomal RNA". It matches the Rfam family "Bacterial small subunit ribosomal RNA", at positions 568 to 774 of the family's 1533-position model. The record is from RNAcentral.
AGCGCAGGCGGGAGAACAAGUUGGAAGUGAAAUCCAUGGGCUCAACCCAUGAACUGCUUUCAAAACUGUUUUUCUUGAGUAGUGCAGAGGUAGGCGGAAUUCCCGGUGUAGCGGUGGAAUGCGUAGAUAUCGGGAGGAACACCAGUGGCGAAGGCGGCCUACUGGGCACCAACUGACGCUGAGGCUCGAAAGUGUGGGUAGCAAACA